AGAUGGCGACCGGCGCACGGGUGAGUAACACGUAUCCAACCUGCCGAUAACUCGGGGAUAGCCUUUCGAAAGAAAGAUUAAUACCCGAUGGUAUAAUCAGACCGCAUGGUUUGAUUAUUAAAGAAUUUCGGUUGUCGAUGGGGAUGCGUUCCAUUAGGCAGUUGGUGAGGUAACGGCUCACCAAACCUUCGAUGGAUAGGGGUUCUGAGAGGAAGGUCCCCCACAUUGGAACUGAGACACGGUCCAA
Molecule: ribosomal RNA, 247 nt
Filed under: uncultured bacterium
Lineage: Bacteria
Description: partial 16S ribosomal RNA
Rfam family: Bacterial small subunit ribosomal RNA
Source: RNAcentral